This 253-nucleotide ribosomal RNA is filed under the name uncultured bacterium. Its description in RNAcentral is "partial 16S ribosomal RNA". It matches the Rfam family "Bacterial small subunit ribosomal RNA", at positions 524 to 776 of the family's 1533-position model. The record is from RNAcentral.
UACGUAGGGUGCAAGCGUUAAUCGGAAUUACUGGGCGUAAAGCGUGCGCAGGCGGCUUUGCAAGACAGAUGUGAAAUCCCCGGGCUUAACCUGGGAACUGCAUUUGUGACUGCAGGGCUGGAGUGCGGUAGAGGGGGAUGGAAUUCCGCGUGUAGCAGUGAAGUGCGUAGAUAUGCGGAGGAACACCGAUGGCGAAGGCAAUCCCCUGGGCCUGCACUGACGCUCAUGCACGAAAGCGUGGGGAGCAAACAGG